GUCUGGAUGGCGUAGUGGUCAGCGCACCUGCCUAGUAAACAGGAGACCUGGGAUCGAAUCCCAGUCUGGCACA
This 73-nucleotide transfer RNA is filed under the name Schistocerca americana (American grasshopper). RNAcentral describes it as "tRNA-Thr". It matches the Rfam family "tRNA". Rfam says of the family: Transfer RNA (tRNA) molecules are approximately 80 nucleotides in length. Lineage: Eukaryota; Metazoa; Arthropoda; Insecta; Orthoptera; Acrididae. The record is from RNAcentral. RNAcentral also lists the same sequence under 1 other name.